Molecule: transfer RNA, 74 nt
Organism: Ipomoea nil (Japanese morning glory)
Lineage: Eukaryota; Viridiplantae; Streptophyta; Magnoliopsida; Solanales; Convolvulaceae
Rfam family: tRNA
About the family: Transfer RNA (tRNA) molecules are approximately 80 nucleotides in length. Their secondary structure includes four short double-helical elements and three loops (D, anti-codon, and T loops). Further hydrogen bonds mediate the characteristic L-shaped molecular structure. tRNAs have two regions of fundamental functional importance: the anti-codon, which is responsible for specific mRNA codon recognition, and the 3' end, to which the tRNAs corresponding amino acid is attached (by aminoacyl-tRNA synthetases). tRNAs cope with the degeneracy of the genetic code in two manners: having more than one tRNA (with a specific anti-codon) for a particular amino acid; and 'wobble' base-pairing, i.e. permitting non-standard base-pairing at the 3rd anti-codon position.
Source: Rfam
GCUGGAGGAGCUUAGUUGGUUAGAGGGUAUGGCUGUUAACAACAAGGUUGAAGGUUCAAGUCCUUCCCCUAACG